This is a long non-coding RNA of Harpia harpyja (harpy eagle), 2565 nucleotides long. RefSeq lists it as uncharacterized. The transcript is spliced from 3 exons. Lineage: Eukaryota; Metazoa; Chordata; Aves; Accipitriformes; Accipitridae. The record is from RefSeq and is a predicted model, not a curated record.
CCCUUGCUCCUGGCGGUGCCCGUUGGGCCCUGCUGCCUGCAGGCAGGGCUUGGCUUGGGCAGCGCCUGCGGCAGCGUGACCGGCCCUGCGUGAGGAGGGGCUGCCGGUGGGUUUGGUUUUAUGAAUUAGCUUGAGACCCCGCUCUUCGCUGCUGCAGCCCUUCUGGCGCUGUGUUUAAGCCACAGCUUUGUGUCUGCAGAGAAACGCUUUUAUUUGGCUCCAGGUGUGGGAUAAGCACCCUUUUGGCAGAGAGGGCAGCCCCUUUUUGUGAAGCAGUUUAUGGCCUCGGUAUUGCUUGCAUCAGAACAAGUAAAGCUUAAAACGUAAGCCUGCUUGGAAAAGGUUUAAGUAAGCUGGGGCCAGGACGGCUGAGGGCCAAUAUAUACUGGCGAUUGAGCACACUGGCAUAAAAGCAAUGGAGAGAAAAUUUAACAAAAAGUCAGCGUUGUGUCUUGGGCUGUCCCAGGACUCUGCAGUGAGUCAGUGGAAUCCAGGUGCUGAGGUGAAUGGGAAGCGGAGCCUCACCUUUGCAUGGUCCCGGGCUGCUUUGCUUUGCAUUGCUGAUGAAUCAUAUUGGUGACUGUUGGAACGCAGAAGUGGGCAGUUGCAGAGAUAGAGCCGAGCCUGAGGGCAGGAAUAGGGAAUUGCCUUCCAGGUCAGGAAGGCAGGCUGGGUGGUUAGGCUGUGCAGUCUUCUUUGAGAGCACAGUCAGUUCCUGAGACUUCCCAGGAGUUUCUUGCAGAGAUUCAUCUGGAGGACUAAGAAAGUGGAGCCAGUGACAUUAUAUUGACUCCACUGAUACUAUCCUCCUAAAUUAAAUGGUGGAAGAACAAGGCCUGCCUGUGAGUGAAAGUCAGGACCUACUUCAUCUACCUACAAGGUUUUAAUAGCAAUUAGAGGGAGCAAGUUGAAAGUCAGGUGUUUCUGUAGAAAAUGGUGGGUGUGUUUGGUUUGAAUCGAACACAAUAAACCAUAUUUCAGGGCUGUUGUGUUGCCUGUUGUUGUAUUUGCACUUUUGACAUUGUCUCACCUGUGUGUUUUUGCUCACAGGCCCGUGGGUCCCUCUGUUCCUGGCUCCAGGACUGGGUGAGGAGGGACGCUGCAUGUGCUGAAGGAUUAUGGUUUGGCCCUUACAGUCUCACAGGUGUCCUGCACUUCCCCCUGUCUGGUGGGCUUAUACAGAAAGAUGAGGUUGAUGUGAACUUCCAGCUUGGGUGCUGUACUGGUCUGAUCAGUAGACCCUGUAGUGGAAGUGGUGGCCUCCCUGUAAAGGAUUUAUAUAAAGAUAUUUCUGUCGCUGCCUUAGCUGUCCUGUACCGUAUCUAGCAAUGACGACUGAGUCGUAUUCUGCUGAGCAGGCUGCUCCAUACUUAGCCAUCAGACCUGCAUUCUCCAACAGGUUCACCAGGCUGGCAAUGUAGUGAUGGAGCUGUUUGGUACCCGUAGAGUCCCACUCCAAGGGUUUCCGAGCACCUUGCGUUUAGCUCAGAAAAUCUGUCCUUGCAGCAGUCCUGUGAAGGGGUUGUGAAACCCUGGGGUCUCCCAGGGCAGUUCACCAGUUGAAAAAUAUUUUGGAUUGGGUUCUUGUAUCAUCUGAAGUGAAUGGCUAAUCCUGGCGCCAGGAUACAGGUAUGGUUUAAACACUUGAGGUGAAAGCUGUUGGUGGGGAGCAGUGGGACUGUUCACAACAGAACAUCUGCUUUUAUCAGAAUCGUCGGGGUCACCAGCAGCCUUUCUGCAUUAAAGGCUUUCUUGGGUGGUUCAGACAUCCUCAUACCUCUGCUCUGAUACUCGUGUGUUUUACUCUUUCAGAUACCUACUCGAGAGUGUGGCGCUCUAUUUUUGGCAGAUAAAGGUAAAAUGUGUUCCAGUGGGUGGUGGCAGUUGGACCCUGUAUCAAGGCACACAUUUUUAAGCAAAGAAUGGUGCUUUCUCGCCACUUUAUUCCCUGGCAGAGGAGCUGUACGCUUUAGCUGCUGUUCUCUGGUAUGGCCUUGCCAAUGUCGGCAGGGCUCAUGUGGCCACCUCCUGCCCGCUGCAUUGGCAGUGGUUGCGGGCUGAGUCACCUGUUUCUGGUGGACACGAGUUGUGGUCAUUGCAAGACAUAGCAACUGAAAGUCUCUGGCCUGCCUUACAGGAGGUCUGACAAAGUGACCAUAAUAACCCUUUCUGCCCUGGAAAUCUCUGAAUUCCUGGUAGGCCAAGAAAUUACUCUGUACUUACAUAGCUCAGUGUUGCUAAACCUGUCUUGUUUUGAGGCUUGCAAAACAAAUAGAUACCCAAGAGAAGAUGGUACUAAUCACUGCUGUAAUGACAUAUUCAACUCCUGUUUUUAUGGUUGCUCCAAAGCCUAUUUUGGGGAGACUUUUUUUAAGCUUUUUGGGGAAGAACAGACAAGCUUUUGGCGUGCAAUUCUACAUCAAAUCUCUUCAGUUUUGCUAGGCUGCGUUUAUUUGUAAGACCCUGUAUAUUGUAGAGGCCGCUGCGCGUUCCUGACUAUUCCCUAGAAUGGAAACUUGAAACAAUGAUUUUUGUAAUGAAUGUGCAAUAAAUCUGUGGAAAAGA